GUGGGGCGUAGUGGUUUGAGUGUUGGACCAUGACUCUGGAGGCCAGGGUUCAAAUCCCUGCUGAGACA
Non-coding RNA from Phrynosoma platyrhinos (Desert horned lizard), 68 nucleotides. The record is from the annotation of a GenBank genome assembly. NCBI's taxonomy places the organism in Eukaryota, Metazoa, Chordata, Lepidosauria, Squamata, Phrynosomatidae.